AUAAGUAAUACAAUGAUGCAAAGUGAGACUAUAUAAGUUAGAUGAUAUAUAUUAUAAUU
Molecule: non-coding RNA, 59 nt
Filed under: Trypanosoma brucei brucei
Lineage: Eukaryota; Euglenozoa; Kinetoplastea; Trypanosomatida; Trypanosomatidae
Source: RNAcentral